UACGUAGGGUGCAAGCGUUAUCCGGAAUUAUUGGGCGUAAAGAGCUCGUAGGCGGUUUGUCGCGUCUGCCGUGAAAGUCCGGGGCUCAACUCCGGAUCUGCGGUGGGUACGGGCAGACUAGAGUGCAGUAGGGGAGACUGGAAUUCCUGGUGUAGCGGUGAAAUGCGCAGACUAUCAGGAGGAACACCGAUGGCGAAGGCAGGUCUCUGGGCUGUAACUGACGCUGGAGGAGCGAAAGCAUGGGGAGCGAACAGG
This 255-nucleotide ribosomal RNA is filed under the name uncultured bacterium. RNAcentral describes it as "partial 16S ribosomal RNA". It matches the Rfam family "Bacterial small subunit ribosomal RNA", at positions 524 to 776 of the family's 1533-position model. The record is from RNAcentral.